RNAcentral lists this unclassified non-coding RNA (255 nucleotides) under uncultured Russula. RNAcentral's name for it is "sequence contains ITS2". The record is from RNAcentral. Lineage: Eukaryota; Fungi; Basidiomycota; Agaricomycetes; Russulales; Russulaceae.
AAUUCUCAAAACCUUUUUCUUAGGGUUUUGGACUUGGAGGUUCAAUGCUCGCUUUCGGGACCCGAAAGCGAGCUCCUCUCAAAUAAAUUAGUGGGGUCUGCUUUGCUGGUCCUUGACGUGAUAAGAUGUUUCGACGUUUUGGACUUGGCACUGUCUCUUGGAUGCCUGCUUCUAACAGUCCGUCUCGUGGACAACGAUGGUGCUCUGGUCUCUCCUCCAUCCACGAUGGUGGGAGGCUGGACCCACAAAUAAAAA